RNAcentral lists this long non-coding RNA (649 nucleotides) under Crocodylus porosus (Australian saltwater crocodile). RNAcentral's name for it is "lncRNA (ENSCPRG00005010638.1)". Lineage: Eukaryota; Metazoa; Chordata; Crocodylia; Crocodylidae. The record is from RNAcentral.
AUAACCCUUGAGGCACAUGAGACACAGAGCUAAUGAAGUGCCUGAAGGAAAAAGUCUUACUAUCAAGCUAUGAAUCCUCUCCCCUGUGCCACAAACCAGAGGUCACAUGACUUAGGAAUGUGUAUCCAAAGAUAAUACUACCUUCAGAGAACUCUACUUACAGGUCUUGGACAAACAGUAAGCUAUUCACUCACAAAUGCAGGCCAGACUUAUUUCCCACUUUUCUAAACAAUGUAGUACAAUCUACUAAUCCAAUGAAAUAAAUCGAACAAGAAGAUCCCUGCUGAUGGGCAGCGCUUCUGACGAGGAUUUAGUGAAUGUGCUGCUGGACAGUGAUAAAAUGAAGAGUGGUACUGGGAAAGCCAAGUUAUCCGACUGGGUCGUGGAUGUGUAGCUGUAAGGAAACCCACAGGAGAACUCCCAGGGUGAACUUUGUUGAUCUUAUAGCUUUUAAAGCUCAAUUUCCCUCUGCAGCAUGGCAAUCAUCUACAUUGGACCAGCAAACCUCCAGAUUUUUAUGCAUACUUGUGACAAUCAUAUACAUGCUGAAAGUACAGAUUUUAUGCUGAUUAGCAUUUUUGGAACCCACAGACAAGAAGCACUCUUGGAACAAUUUAUUAACCUUUGCAUCACCUUAAAAGCAUGUGUG